This 319-nucleotide long non-coding RNA is filed under the name Mytilus galloprovincialis (Mediterranean mussel). Lineage: Eukaryota; Metazoa; Mollusca; Bivalvia; Mytilida; Mytilidae. The record is from RNAcentral.
UGCCAGUUAUACCUGUUAAGGAAGUUUUUCUACAUACGCAAUCUUAUAGUAUUUUUAUGAGAUGUUUUUCUUUACAUAGAUGUAACUUGAUGUGUGCUUUUUGGUAAGGUGAGUGCAUCAGAUUUAUAAAAAAGGACAUCAUAAGGGACGACAUCAAAAGUUCAAUGAAGGAUACAAAACUUAAUUCACAUAGUUUUGUCACUGACCCCCCUAACCCCCUCUUAACUUUAUUCGGGAAAAAUUGAUUGACCCAUAUGGAUAUAUGUAAAAAUCAAUGUCGGAUAGCCAAAUCUUGCAGCAGUUCAACCCCCACCCCAAA